This 495-nucleotide ribosomal RNA is filed under the name uncultured bacterium. Its description in RNAcentral is "partial 16S ribosomal RNA". It matches the Rfam family "Bacterial small subunit ribosomal RNA", at positions 28 to 507 of the family's 1533-position model. The record is from RNAcentral.
GACGAACGCUGGCGGCGUGCCUAAUACAUGCAAGUAGAACGCUGAAGGAGGAGCUUGCUUCUCUGGAUGAGUUGCGAACGGGUGAGUAACGCGUAGGUAACCUGCCUGGUAGCGGGGGAUAACUAUUGGAAACGAUAGCUAAUACCGCAUAAUAUUGACUAUUGCAUGAUAGUCAGUUGAAAGGUGCAACUGCACCACUACCAGAUGGACCUGCGUUGUAUUAGCUAGUUGGUGGGGUAACGGCUCACCAAGGCGACGAUACAUAGCCGACCUGAGAGGGUGAUCGGCCACACUGAGACUGAGACACGGCCCAGACUCCUACGGGAGGCAGCAGUAGGGAAUCUUCGGCAAUGGACGGAAGUCUGACCGAGCAACGCCGCGUGAGUGAAGAAGGUUUUCGGAUCGUAAAGCUCUGUUGUAAGAGAAGAACGAGUGUGAGAGUGGAAAGCUCACACUGUGACGGUAUCUUACCAGAAAGGGACGGCUAACUACGUG